RNAcentral lists this ribosomal RNA (253 nucleotides) under uncultured bacterium. RNAcentral's name for it is "partial 16S ribosomal RNA". It matches the Rfam family "Bacterial small subunit ribosomal RNA", at positions 524 to 776 of the family's 1533-position model. The record is from RNAcentral.
UACGUAGGUGACAAGCGUUGUCCGGAUUUACUGGGCGUAAAGAGCUCGUAGGCGGCUUGUCGCGUCGACUGUGAAAACCCGAGGCUCAACUUCGGGCUUGCAGUCGAUACGGGCAGGCUAGAGUUCGGUAGGGGAGACUGGAAUUUACGGUGUAGCGGUGAAAUGCGUAGAUAUCGUAAGGAAGACCAGUGGCGAAGGCGGGUCUCUGGACAGUUCCUGACGCUGAGGCACGAAGGUCAGGGGAGCAAGCGGG